RNAcentral lists this long non-coding RNA (1409 nucleotides) under Pan troglodytes (chimpanzee). RNAcentral's name for it is "long non-coding RNA NONPTRT002199". Lineage: Eukaryota; Metazoa; Chordata; Mammalia; Primates; Hominidae. The record is from RNAcentral.
GGAGAAAUGGCAGCACACGUUGGUUGUUGCCCUGGAUGCCCAAAAUAUUGUAGCUGUUUCAUGUGGAGAAGCUCAUACGUUAGCGCUAAAUGACAAAGGCCAGGUGUAUGCUUGGGGUCUCGAUUCUGAUGGACAGCUUGGCCUGGUAGGAUCAGAGGAAUGCAUCAGAGUACCCAGAAAUAUUAAAAGUUUGUCAGAUAUCCAGAUUGUACAGGUUGCUUGUGGUUACUAUCAUUCACUUGCACUUUCUAAAGCAAGUGAAGUCUUCUGUUGGGGACAGAAUAAAUAUGGCCAAUUGGGUUUAGGUACUGACUGUAAAAAGCAAACUUCACCGCAGCUGCUUAAGUCUUUGCUUGGAAUCCCUUUCAUGCAAGUUGCAGCAGGAGGAGCCCAUAGUUUUGUACUCACCCUUUCUGGAGCUAUCUUUGGAUGGGGACGCAACAAGUUUGGUCAGCUAGGUCUUAAUGAUGAAAAUGAUAGGUAUGUUCCUAAUUUACUAAAGUCACUAAGAUCUCAGAAAAUAGUUUAUAUUUGUUGUGGAGAAGAUCAUACUGCUGCUCUAACCAAGGAAGGUGGAGUGUUUACUUUUGGAGCUGGAGGGUAUGGUCAGUUGGGCCAUAAUUCUACCAGUCAUGAAAUAAACCCAAGGAAAGUUUUUGAACUUAUGGGAAGCAUUGUCACUCAGAUUGCUUGUGGACGGCAGCACACUUCUGCUUUUGUUCCUUCAUCAGGACGAAUUUACUCUUUUGGGCUUGGUGGUAAUGGGCAGCUGGGAACCGGUUCAACAAGCAACAGGAAAAGUCCCUUUACUGUAAAAGGAAAUUGGUACCCUUAUAAUGGGCAGUGUCUACCAGAUAUUGAUUAUGAAGAAUAUUUCUGUGUAAAAAGAAUUUUCUCAGGGGGAGAUCAAAGCUUUUCACAUUACUCUAGUCCCCAGAACUGUGGGCCACCAGAUGACUUCAGAUGUCCUGAUCCGACAAAGCAGAUCUGGACAGUGAAUGAAGCUCUAAUUCAGAAAUGGCUGAGCUAUCCUUCUGGAAGGUUUCCUGUGGAGAUAGCCAAUGAGAUAGAUGGAACGUUUUCUUCCUCUGGUUGCCUAAAUGGAAGUUUUUUAGCUGUUAGCAAUGAUGAUCACUAUAGAACAGGUACCAGAUUUUCAGGGGUUGAUAUGAAUGCUGCUAGGCUUUUAUUCCACAAACUUAUACAACCUGAUCAUCCGCAGAUAUCUCAGCAGCUCUUGUGAACCUAGAAAAGGCACCACUGAAAGUACUUGAAAACUGGUGGUCAGUACUUGAACCUCCACUAUUCCUCAAGAUAGUAGAACUUUUUAAGGAAGUUGUGGUACAUCUUUUGAAACUCUACAAGAUCGGUAUUCCCCCUUCUGAAAGAAGAAUUUUCAACAGUUUUCU